Molecule: long non-coding RNA, 2995 nt
Filed under: Marmota monax (woodchuck)
Lineage: Eukaryota; Metazoa; Chordata; Mammalia; Rodentia; Sciuridae
Source: RNAcentral
GUGGGGUUGUAUUUCUGUUUUUCCCAGAUUAACCCUGAAUUACUGGACUCAAUUGAUCUUUUCUACAUCAGCAUCCUGAGUAGCUGGGACCAUAGGUGUGCAUCAUCAUCAUGCCUGGCUAUAAAUGCAACACUUAAACAACAGUAUAAGGUAGUAUCUAAUGACAUGAAUACCACAGAUAAUGAAUGUAUAUGAAUUCACAGAAGGAUGAAAGCAGUGUACCUUCAAAUGGUUAUAGGAAAAAGCCAAAUUUGAUAUACGUCUUUUGAAUUAAUAGAAACUAGGGCUGUUUAAAAUGAGAUAAUUCUAGGGGGAUAGUUCAGAUGUUGAAUGAAAGAGGCUGGGAGGCCAUCCUGCCUGGAAUGGAGAAUUUUAUUUGUGAGUAGCAGGAAUCUGAUUGAAACAGUACAUUGACACCAAGUCAUGGCGAACUUUAAAUUCCUUAUUUUAUAUCUUGUAGGUUCUGGUGAAUCACUAAGGGGUGCAGGUGUGUGUAUGCUGGAGUUUGACUAGAGAGCUUACACAUGCUAGGCAAGCAUAUUUCUGACUACUGUACCUUCACCCUGCCAGAGGGAUUUUCUUAAUGUCUCCUCUACCCUCACCUUUAUGUCUUCCUGCUGAACUUGCAUCUUAAAGAGGGUAUUUCUCCAUGCGCUAGCUCUUCUCCCAAGUAGGUGUUUGUUGAUACCAUUGGUAUGGUUCAGUCUUCAUUUUAGGUAGGUGUCUUACUUUCCCUUGGAACUCACUUGGAACUUUUUCAGUGGUUCUUUAAGGGUAGAGGACUUUGGUUUGGUUGGUUUUGUUUCAUUUCCCUUAAUCAACUACAGUAGGUCUUUGCGUUUUUCCUGAGAGCAAUAGCAUUGACUGCCUUUUUUCCCUUACCACUUAAGACUUUUCCUAUAGGAGAGGUGGGCAAGAAGAAUCCAGGUAGGUUUUGGUAUUUUUCCCAAAGGAGCUUCCAUUCUCUUCCAAAUGUACCCUAGUCGUUUUUUUUCAGCCUGCAUUGAGGUCUUUGGAGAAGAUUCCUAUGGGUGAGUGAGAAUCCUAUUGUUUCUGUGGUUACCAAGGGUUUUAUAUUGUCAUAGUAGCCCAUGUUUGGCCUGUAGUAAUUUUAAAAUAAUUUUAAUUUUGAUUAAAAUUCUUCUGACUGACUUGUAUGAUAUCCAUUGUUUACUAUAGGUAAGGAAGUGUCCUCAUGUCUCAUCUUUCCUUUGAGAAGUCUUGUCUUUCCUUAAAUUUGAGGUAGUUGUUUGCCCUUAAAAUUUUAGGUAUAUUGCUAUGAAAUGUGUAAAAAUCACAAAAUUUCCUGAACCCAGCAAGAAAGUAAGGGUUUUGGAAAUUUUGUGAUUUUGCACGUUAUCCACCCACCAUUCAUUCAUUCAUUCGUUUAGUAGUGCAGAAGAUUAAAUAGUUAAGUAAUUUACUAAUUUUACCAAAGUAUUGAUAAGAACUGCAAUAGGAGUAUAUAGAAGAGUAUAUAUAAUCUUAAAUAAUUAAUGUUAUGGUUUGGAUCUGGAAUGUCCUCCAUAGACUCAGGUGUUAAUAGUUGGUGCCCAGUUGGUGCUUUGGGAGGUGGCUACUAACUGGAAGGUGUUGAUCACUGGUGGUAUAUCCCUGAAGGGUCCAUUUUUUCGAUUUCUUCCCUCCCCAGUUCCUGGCAGCUGUGAGAUAAGCAGCACCUGCUCCACCUUGCACUCUUCACUGGGUAAUGUUAUACCUCACCAAAGGCCCAAAGUGACAGGACCAAGUAAUCAUGGUGUGAAAUCACCAGCCAAAAAUAAAAUCUUUCCUAAGUUGAUUUUCUCAGGAAAUUUGUGAGAGAGAGAAUAGAGGAGAUUAGUAAAGAUGGGAAGUUGUAGGAAAGUAAAAUAGGUAGAAGGAAGAGACCAUGUGGUGGCUAAUAUGUAAAACAAACAAACAAAAACCCUGCAAAACAGAUAUGGAAAGUUUGAAAAGCUGAAAGAUGCCCACUAUGGCUAAAUGGUAUACAAGGACAGAAGUGACAGAAGGUAAGAGUGGAGAAAAUUGACCAGAGCCAGGAUAAAACAAGUCUUGUAAACCAUGUUAAGAGGUUGAUUGUUAUCAUAAAAAUAUUGGGGAGUCGUUGAAUGGUUUUUAUUGAGGGGGAUAGCUAAGCAGGGAAUUAUUUUUAAACGGUCAUUCUGGAUGCAAGGUGAGGAGUGAUGGAAAGGAAGCUAAGACAGAGAGAUGGCCUGUUACCACAAUAUAGGGAUUUGUAUGUGUUGGUUUAACCUGGAGCAGUGACAUUAGGGAUAGGGAGAAUUAACCCAGGUUAAAGAGAUAUUUAGGUAUGACGGUCAGUAGAACUUGUCCAUUGAUUGAAUAUGGAGGUCAAGGGAGAAGGAAGACUUGCAGUGUAUUCAGUAAAAGUCUUGGUAUGUUGCUUCAGUUUUCCUUUCUUCCUUGAGAGAGAGACUAGAAUAAAAACAUCCUUGGUUGACUUCACCAUUCAUGACCCAUGGUUCAAAAUUUAUUGAGGUUUUGGGUGGAAGUAAGUCAGAAAAGGAAAAAAAAAACAUUUAAAUAAUUUGUAACGUCAUUUGAAUACAGGUCUUUUGCCUGAUUAUCUUUCAGUGUUGAGAAAAACAGAAGACAGUUUGGUUCUUUCAGUUUUGAUGUUUAGCCACUUGGCUUGUAAACAAAUAAAAUCUGGAAAAUGGCUUCCUUACCCUUUUUGAACAAAAAUAGCAUAAAAUUGAUCUUUUCAAAUAGCUGUUCCAUUUAGAUAGAUACUUAACACAUUUAAUCACAUAACUUCCUUGUUUUUCCCAGAUGGUUUUAUUCAGCAUUUGGUGUGGUGAAUAUUACAUAAAUAUUUACAACCUGUGUUUGAGAGUUCUAGUCUUCCAAAACUCCAGUCACCUAAGAUCAUGACCACUGCCACUGACAGCUGUGACAAGUUUUAUACAGAACACAGCUGUGGAUGCCAGCAGUAUUUUUAUGGUAUGUGGGGGGGAAAUACAAUUUUCAGAAA